Molecule: ribosomal RNA, 492 nt
Filed under: uncultured bacterium
Lineage: Bacteria
Description: partial 16S ribosomal RNA
Rfam family: Bacterial small subunit ribosomal RNA
Source: RNAcentral
AGUGAACGCUGGCGGUAGGCCUAACACAUGCAAGUCGAACGGCAGCACAGUAAGAGCUUGCUCUUACGGGUGGCGAGUGGCGGACGGGUGAGGCAUACAUCGGAAUCUACUUUUUCGUGGGGGAUAACGUAGGGAAACUUACGCUAAUACCGCAUACGACCUACGGGUGAAAGCAGGGGAUCUUCGGACCUUGCGCGAUUGAACGAGCCGAUGUCGGAUUAGCUAGUUGGCGGGGUAAAGGCCCACCAAGGCGACGAUCCGUAGCUGGUCUGAGAGGAUGAUCAGCCACACUGGAACUGAGACACGGUCCAGACUCCUACGGGAGGCAGCAGUGGGGAAUAUUGGACAAUGGGCGCAAGCCUGAUCCAGCCAUACCGCGUGGGUGAAGAAGGCCUUCGGGUUGUAAAGCCCUUUUGUUGGGAAAGAAAAGCAGCAGGUUAAUACCCAGCUGUUCUGGCGGUACCCAAAGAAUAAGCACCGGCUAACUUCGUG